This 492-nucleotide ribosomal RNA is filed under the name uncultured bacterium. RNAcentral describes it as "partial 16S ribosomal RNA". It matches the Rfam family "Bacterial small subunit ribosomal RNA", at positions 29 to 507 of the family's 1533-position model. The record is from RNAcentral.
AGUGAACGCUGGCGGUAGGCCUAACACAUGCAAGUCGAACGGCAGCACAGUAAGAGCUUGCUCUUACGGGUGGCGAGUGGCGGACGGGUGAGGAAUACAUCGGAAUCUACUUUUUCGUGGGGGAUAACGUAGGGAAACUUACGCUAAUACCGCAUACGACCUACGGGUGAAAGCAGGGGAUCUUCGGACCUUGCGCGAUUGAAUGAGCCGAUGUCGGAUUAGCUAGUUGGCGGGGUAAAGGCCCACCAAGGCGACGAUCCGUAGCUGGUCUGAGAGGAUGAUCAGCCACACUGGAACUGGGACACGGUCCAGACUCCUACGGGAGGCAGCAGUGGGGAAUAUUGGACAAUGGGCGCAAGCCUGAUCCAGCCAUACCGCGUGGGUGAAGAAGGCUUUCGGGUUGUAAAGCCCUUUUGUUGGGAAAGAAAAGCAGCAGGUUAAUACCCCGCUGUUCUGACGGUACCCAAAGAAUAAGCACCGGCUAACUUCGUG